ACUCCUACGGGAGGCAGCAGUGGGGAAGUCUUGGACAAUGGGCGCAAGCCUGAUCCAGCCAUGCCGCGUGAGUGAUGAAGGCCCUAGGGUCGUAAAGCUCUUUCGCCAGAGAUGAUAAUGACAGUAUCUGGUAAAGAAACCCGGGCUAACUCCGUGCCAGCAGCCGCGGUAAUACGGAGGGGGUUAGCGUUGUUCGGAAUUACUGGGCGUAAAGCGCGCGUAGGCGGACUGGAAAGUUGGGGGUGAAAUCCCGGGGCUCAACCCCGGAACUGCCUCCAAAACUAUCAGUCUAGAGUUCGAGAGAGGUGAGUGGAAUUCCGAGUGUAGAGGUGAAAUUCGUAGAUAUUCGGAGGAACACCAGUGGCGAAGGCGGCUCACUGGCUCGAUACUGACGCUGAGGUGCGAAAGUGUGGGGAGCAAACAGGAUUAGAUACCCUGGUAGACUGUCA
RNAcentral lists this ribosomal RNA (449 nucleotides) under uncultured bacterium. Its description in RNAcentral is "bacterial SSU rRNA". It matches the Rfam family "Bacterial small subunit ribosomal RNA", at positions 335 to 799 of the family's 1533-position model. The record is from RNAcentral.